CCGUAGUACAUGCUUGCGAGUUGCGAGUCAAACAAAGUAUUAUUUAAACGUUUCCUUUUUCUAAAGCUAGAUGGCUUUGCCCUUUGAUCAUUUUCGUCUGUCAAAUUAGUCGUGUGUCCAACAGGUGGCGGAGACGCGCGAGUGGUGGUUCUACCGGCAUGAGUGACGGACGCCAUUUUUUCCGAGGCAUUGAUCCAGGUUGAGCAGGACGUCGAAUCGAAUUGUGAAUGAAUGCUCACUCUACAACAAAAUGAAAAUUAAAAAGCCUUUUCUAUUUCCACUUGGCCAAAUCAUCUGAUAACAUGUCUGGCUUGACUGCUGUCCUGCCGAAAUGUCCUGCAAUGCUACGUGUACCGGCCGUACGUCUCAUCCUAUUCUGAAUACUUGACAAAAGAAGUUCCACAGCCAGGUGAAGUCUGAGCUUUUGCAGUGCUGUCUAUCAUGCUUGUGGUCUUGUUGCGACCAGCUGGUGAAUGGUGUGGUGAGCUACUUCCAUGCAGUCUGUGGUGCUGACCUUGAUUGCAGGCAACAUUUGUAACACAGAACUUCACUUCAGCAAUCCAAUCCAGUUCUUGCAUCCAAUUGUGUAGACUGCACGGAAUUCUCAUUUAUAGCUUUGCUGUGAAUGU
This is a long non-coding RNA of Daphnia pulex (common water flea), 629 nucleotides long. RefSeq lists it as uncharacterized. The record is from RefSeq and is a predicted model, not a curated record. The transcript is spliced from 3 exons. Lineage: Eukaryota; Metazoa; Arthropoda; Branchiopoda; Diplostraca; Daphniidae.